Molecule: long non-coding RNA, 1627 nt
Organism: Ruditapes philippinarum (Manila clam)
Lineage: Eukaryota; Metazoa; Mollusca; Bivalvia; Venerida; Veneridae
Exons: 3
Source: RefSeq, a predicted model, not a curated record
AAGGUCAAUAUUAAUUUUGCAGUACAUAUCACAUCAUAUUUACCAGCUAAAAAGUACAUUAUCUGUUUUAUUAUAUAAUUCAUGAAUAAUUUUAUAAGGCUUAUCAAAACUGCCAUUCAAUAUGAAGGAGAUCAACAUUUCUUCAGCUCGUUACUUUUUUUUUUUUUUCAUUACUAGAGCCUAUAUUUAAGAGCGCAUAGGAACACUUAAUUUCAAUUUUUUUUAUGCCCCCACUUUAGUGGCAGGCAUUUAGAUCUACCCUUGUCCGCCCUUCCUUCCCUCCGUUCUCUUUUGUGUCGCAGGUAACUCAAAAAGUAUUUGACCUAGAGUCAUGAAACUUUACACUUAUGUUGAUCAGGAUGUGUAGUUGUGCACCUGGGUAUUUUCGUCUGGAUAUUUUUAGUAUUUUUAGAGUUAUUUCCCUUGACUUAGUAAAAUUUUGCAAUUUUCAACUUGUGUCGCAUGUUACUCUAAAGGUAUUUGACCUAGAGUCAUGAAACUUUACAGGAAUGUUGAUCAGCAUUAGUAUUUGUGCACCUGGGUAUUUUCGUCUGGAUAUUUAUAGUAUUUUUAGAGUUAUUGCCCUUGACUUAGAAAAUUUUUGCCAUUUUCAACUUGUGUCGCAUGAAACUCAAAAAGGAUUUGACAUAGAGUCAUUAAACCUUACGGGAAGGUCGCUCAGCAUAUUUAGUUUUGCACCUGGGGUUUCGCUUGUGGAUUUAUCCAGUAUUUGUAGAGUUAUUUUCAUUGACUUAGUAAAAACCGUUUCAUUAUGUUGUUAUUUGUUCCUUGAGUUCAACCAACUUAGGAAUAAUGAUCAAUAUCACUAAAUUACAGGAAUAAUGAUUCACAUCACUGUGAAGUUACGCACCUGGGACUUUGCAUGUAGAUUUAUUUCAGUUUUGUUAGAGUUAUUGCCCUUGACUUACAGUAGUAUAAAUUUGCAUUUUUUAACUUGUUCUUGCAUAGCUCAAAAAGUAUUUCACUUGUAGGCCUGAAAGUUUACAAGAAUGUUGGUCAGCAUGUGUACUUAUGCACCUUAGCGUUUGCUUGUGGAUUUAUUCAGUAUUUGUACAGUUCUUGCCCUUUACUUAGUAAAAGAUUUUUAGUUUUCAAAAAAUAUUUGACCUAGAGUCAUAAGAUUGACAGAACAGUGGCGCGGUGGGGGCACCCAUGUCCUAUGGACACAUUUCUAGUUUACUGUAAAGACAGUAACUAAAACAAACUAAUAUGACUUUUAUGUGCGAGUCACCUAACUUUUUUUUUUUCAGAAUAAUAAUAAUAAACUUGGUGUGACAUCACGUCAUUGUUUUGCGUCUUAAGGGGAUUUCCAGAAAAUCUAUUUUUAGGGAAAAAAUGAUCAGUAGAUAUCCUGCAUGGAAGCCUCUUCAAACACUAAUAUUCCAGCUACCAGUAGUAAUAAGUGUGAAGAACAACAAACAUCAGGUGACCGGCCCUGCCAGAUGGAAGCAGACAGAAUGGGAGAUACUUUUAUUGGGUUUCAUGCCACACCGACACAGUAUAGGUCAAAUGUCAACGUUUCAGCUUUAAUGGUGAAGGAAGACCUCAUGCAGCCUGUGAUGCAAGGUGCCCUUUCAAGUAUUAUUUCAGACACGAACGGGCACCU